AGUAAGGAGACCCAAUACCCCUCUCCAGCCCCUAACCCCUUCAUUCUGUUUCAUUUUCAAAGAAACCAACUUUCCCUUCUCUCAUCUUUUCUCUAGUAAGAGCUCUGCUAGGACACAAAGUUCGUCCGUCUCCAAGGCAACGACACCUCUUCCUACAUCCAAGUAAGUUGAAUCUUAGAGAUUUCUGGUCUGUUUCUUCUCCUUUCCUCUGGUUGAGCAUGUUGGUCGGGUUAGGUUUCCAGCUCUUAACUUCGUUUUGGGCAUGGGGUUUCUGUUUCAACUCACUUUCUUAGUUCGUGGAGCUGUGGUGCCUGGGUUGCCUUCUCUAAGUUGUUGCUCCCUUCUCUUGUGCUUAAAAAGUGGGAGCAGAUGGGGGAAUUCUUGGAAAUAGGUCUGAUGGUAGCAGCGGUGCAGCUUAGUAAGUUCGUGUGUGUGACUUGCAAGAGCAGUUUUAAGGCUCUAAAGUCAUUGUAAUCCCCUGUUCUAUGAACAGCUUCUUUUGCAAAACAGUACCUUUCGGUUUUACAUUUAGCUCAUGGCAUGAUGUUUUGUAUGCCCUAGUAAUUUCCAGUACUCUUCUUGGGAUGACUGUAAUAGUGAAUCUUUAUGCGUCCAGUUGCUCUGAUUACUCGUUGAUUUCUAUAAUUAUGCAAUGUUUAAAUUUA
This is a long non-coding RNA of Vigna unguiculata (cowpea), 665 nucleotides long. The record is from RefSeq and is a predicted model, not a curated record. Lineage: Eukaryota; Viridiplantae; Streptophyta; Magnoliopsida; Fabales; Fabaceae.